Molecule: ribosomal RNA, 111 nt
Filed under: Ictidomys tridecemlineatus (thirteen-lined ground squirrel)
Lineage: Eukaryota; Metazoa; Chordata; Mammalia; Rodentia; Sciuridae
Source: RNAcentral
AUCUACGGCCAUACCACCCUGAACGUGCCCGAUCUCGUCUGAUCUUGGAAGCAUUAGAUGGCACCAGGCAAGCAGCACCUGCCACUUAGCAGGCUAGUAGUCAUGUGGUUU